This 595-nucleotide ribosomal RNA is filed under the name uncultured Bacteroidota bacterium. Its description in RNAcentral is "bacterial SSU rRNA". It matches the Rfam family "Bacterial small subunit ribosomal RNA", at positions 122 to 715 of the family's 1533-position model. Lineage: Bacteria; Pseudomonadati; Bacteroidota. The record is from RNAcentral.
CAACCUGCCCACCACUUGGGGAUAACCUUGCGAAAGUAAGACUAAUACCCAAUGAUAUCUCUAGAAGGCAUCUGAAAGAGAUUAAAGAUUUAUCGGUGAUGGAUGGGGAUGCGUCUGAUUAGCUUGUUGGCGGGGUAACGGCCCACCAAGGCAACGAUCAGUAGGGGUUCUGAGAGGAAGGUCCCCCACAUUGGAACUGAGACACGGUCCAAACUCCUACGGGAGGCAGCAGUGAGGAAUAUUGGUCAAUGGGCGAGAGCCUGAACCAGCCAAGUAGCGUGCAGGACGACGGCCCUAUGGGUUGUAAACUGCUUUUAUAAGGGAAUAAAGUGAGUCUCGUGAGACUUUUUGCAUGUACCUUAUGAAUAAGGACCGGCUAAUUCCGUGCCAGCAGCCGCGGUAAUACGGAAGGUCCGGGCGUUAUCCGGAUUUAUUGGGUUUAAAGGGAGCGUAGGCCGGAGAUUUAGCGUGUUGUGAAAUGUAGAGGCUCAACCUCUGCACUGCAGCGCGAACUGGUCUUCUUGAGUACGCGCAACGUGGGCGGAAUUCGUGGUGUAGCGGUGAAAUGCUUAGAUAUCACGAAGAACUCCGAUUG